GACGAACGCUGGCGACGUGCUUAACACAUGCAAGUCGAACGCUGAAGCGCAGCUUUUGUUGGGUGGAUGAGUGGCGAACGGGUGAGUAACACGUGAGUAACCUGCCCCCUUCUUUGGGAUAACGCCCGGAAACGGGUGCUAAUACUGGAUAUUAACUGGUCAUCGCAUGGGGGUUGGAGGAAAGGGCGUUUCUGGUGGGGGAUGGGCACGCGGCCUAUCAGCUUGUGGGUGGGGUGAUGGCAUACCAAGGCUUUGACGGGUAGCCGGCCCGGGCGGGUGACCGGUAACAUUGGGACUGAUAUACGGCCCAGACUCCUGCGGGAGGCGGCAGUGGGGAGUAUUGCGCGAGGGGCUCAAGCCUGAUGCCGCGACGCCUCGUGAGGGUUGGCGGCCUUCGGGUUGUUAUCCUCUUUCGCGCAUGGUCAAGCCGCAACAAUGGUUGUGGUGAGGGUUGUGUGUAAAGAAGCGCCGGCUAACUACGUG
This 483-nucleotide ribosomal RNA is filed under the name uncultured bacterium. RNAcentral describes it as "partial 16S ribosomal RNA". It matches the Rfam family "Bacterial small subunit ribosomal RNA", at positions 28 to 507 of the family's 1533-position model. The record is from RNAcentral.